RNAcentral lists this ribosomal RNA (1509 nucleotides) under Haematoloechus lobatus. RNAcentral's name for it is "SSU rRNA". It matches the Rfam family "Eukaryotic small subunit ribosomal RNA", at positions 46 to 1400 of the family's 1831-position model. The record is from RNAcentral. Lineage: Eukaryota; Metazoa; Platyhelminthes; Trematoda; Plagiorchiida; Haematoloechidae.
UAGCCAUGCAUGUCUAAGUACAUACCUUUAAACGGUGAAACCGCGAAUGGCUCAUUAAAUCAGCUAUGGUUCCUUAGAUCGUACCUACUACAUGGAUAACUGUAGUAAUUCUAGAGCUAAUACAUGCCACUAUGCCCUGACCCGCAAGGGAACGGGUGGAUUUAUUAGAACAGAACCAACCGUGAGGUGNNNNNGGCUGCUUCCGUUGCACUCUGUGAUGACUCUGGAUAACUUCACUGAUCGCAGUCGGCCUUGUGUCGGCGACGGAUCUUUCAAAUGUCUGCCCUAUCAAUUUUCGAUGGUAGGUGAUCUGCCUACCAUGGUGAUAACGGGUAACGGGGAAUCAGGGUUCGAUUCCGGAGAGGGAGCCUGAGAAACGGCUACCACUUCCAAGGAAGGCAGCAGGCGCGCAAACUACCCAAUCCCGGCACGGGGAGGUGGUGACGAAAAAUACGGAUACGGGACUCGAAUGAGGCUCCGUAAUUCGAAUGAGUACAAUUUAAAUCCUUUAACGAGGAUCAACUGGAGGGCAAGUCUGGUGCCAGCAGCCGCGGUAACUCCAGCUCCAGAAGCGUAUAUUAAAGUUGUUGCAGUUAAAAAGCUCGUAGUUGGAUCUGGGUCGUAUGGCUACGUUCCGUUGCUUGUAUUCUGGGCUUGGCUUUGCUAGGUCUGGUUUGCGGGUCGGUGUUGUGGCUGUGCAGCCUUUCUGCCGUGUCUGUGUUAUAACAGGUGCCGACCUCAUCGGUGAGCUUGUCUCGUCGGUUGGUUGGCAUGCUCUUUGAUGCCUUUGAACGGGUGUCGGGGGCGGACGGUGCGUUUACUUUGAACAAAUUUGAGUGCUCAAAGCAGGCCUGUGCCUGAAAAUUCUUGCAUGGAAUAAUGGAAUAGGACUUCGGUUCUAUUUUGUUGGUNUUCGGAUCCGAAGUAAUGGUUAAGAGGGACAGACGGGGGCAUUUGUAUGGCGGUGUUAGAGGUGAAAUUCUUGGAUCGCCGCCAGACAAACUACAGCGAAAGCAUUUGCCAAGGAUGUUUUCAUUGAUCUGGAGCGAAAGUCAGAGGUUCGAAGACGAUCAGAUACCGUCCUAGUUCUGACCAUAAACGAUGCCAACUGACGAUCCGUGGGUGAUCUUAUAAUGACCCUGCGGGCAGUCCCCGGGAAACCUUUAAGUCUUUGGGCUCCGGGGGAAGUAUGGUUGCAAAGCUGAAACUUAAAGGAAUUGACGGAAGGGCACCACCAGGAGUGGAGCCUGCGGCUUAAUUCGACUCAACACGGGAAAACUCACCCCGNCCCGGNCNCUGUGAGGAUUGACAGAUUGAUAGCUCUUUCUUGAUUCGGUGGUUGGUGGUGCAUGGCCGUUCUUAGUUGGUGGAGCGAUUUGUCUGGUUAAUUCCGAUAACGAACGAGACUUUGGCCUGCUAAAUAGUGUACCUGUCCUCUGUGCUCGUGCAGAUGGCGGUUUUCUCUGCCCGUUCGCGGGUGGGUGAGGCUGUUUAUCGGCGAGGUGCUGC